GUCCAGUGAUGAUACCAAGGCGAAUGCGAACCUACUGGAUGCGAGUCUGAGUUCUCCUGUGUUCAUUUUGGCUGGUAAUCUUGACAGAGCAGCGGAGAUUUGCUGCUUUGUUGUAAGGGCCAGCCUACAGUCACGAAGCCACUUCCCCUAACCCUCUUCUCUAGUGUAAUGCUGGAGAGGGUGUGAAAGGGCCGACAGUGUAUACGAGGCAUGUGUGUGAGAGAAUCUCAACUCCGCGUUAUCCAGUUGUCUAUGAGCUGCAUCUUUGGUAAUCUGAGGGUG
Small nucleolar RNA from Tachysurus fulvidraco (yellow catfish), 282 nucleotides. NCBI's taxonomy places the organism in Eukaryota, Metazoa, Chordata, Actinopteri, Siluriformes, Bagridae. The record is from RefSeq and is a predicted model, not a curated record.